This 255-nucleotide ribosomal RNA is filed under the name uncultured bacterium. RNAcentral describes it as "partial 16S ribosomal RNA". It matches the Rfam family "Bacterial small subunit ribosomal RNA", at positions 524 to 776 of the family's 1533-position model. The record is from RNAcentral.
UACGUAGGGUGCAAGCGUUGUCCGGAAUUAUUGGGCGUAAAGAGCUCGUAGGCGGUCUGUCACGUCGGCUGUGAAAACCCGAGGCUCAACCUCGGGCCUGCAGUCGAUACGGGCAGACUAGAGUUCGGUAGGGGAGACUGGAAUUCCUGGUGUAGCGGUGAAAUGCGCAGAUAUCAGGAGGAACACCCGUGGCUAAGGCGGCUCUCUAGUAACGGUACUGACGCUGAGACGCGAAAAGCGUGGGGAGCGAACAGG